Molecule: ribosomal RNA, 393 nt
Filed under: uncultured bacterium
Lineage: Bacteria
Description: bacterial SSU rRNA
Rfam family: Bacterial small subunit ribosomal RNA
Source: RNAcentral
AUUGAACGCUGGCGGCAGGCCUAACACAUGCAAGUCGAGCGUGAAAGGGCUUCGGCCUGAGUAAAGCGGCGGACGGGUGAGUAACGCGUAGGAAUCUACCUGGUAGUGGGGGAUAACGUUCCGAAAGGGACGCUAAUACCGCAUACGUUCCGAGGAAGAAAGCGGGGGAUCGCAAGACCUCGCGCUAUCAGAUGAGCCUGCGUCCGAUUAGCUAGUUGGUGGGGUAAAGGCCUACCAAGGCGACGAUCGGUAACUGGUCUGAGAGGAUGAUCAGUCACACUGGAACUGAGACACGGUCCAGACUCCUACGGGAGGCAGCAGUGGGGAAUAUUGGACAAUGGGCGCAAGCCUGAUCCAGCCAUGCCGCGUGUGUGAAGAAGGCCUCGGUGUAAG